Long non-coding RNA from Lactuca sativa (garden lettuce), 2064 nucleotides. RefSeq lists it as uncharacterized. The record is from RefSeq and is a predicted model, not a curated record. Lineage: Eukaryota; Viridiplantae; Streptophyta; Magnoliopsida; Asterales; Asteraceae.
AUGCCAUUGCUGAACACAUGCAUACAUGGAUAGAUGUUUUUGGUUUCAAGCCUCUUGAGGAAACACACAGACAAGAAAUGAUGUCCAUCAACUUGUUGGUGUUUCCUGCAACAAAUAUGUUGCAGAAACCACUAAUUCCAGAGAAAGGUUCAUCAUUACAUAAGAUAAGAAUGGAAUUGGAAUUGGAAAGCAACAUUCCGAAGCCUGCCAAAUCUGAAUCAAGUUCUCCCGAUAUUAAACAUUCGAGACAAAGAAUUGCUCCAUCGGAGUCCGGUUCUCAAGAUGCUAGCGAUGCCACUCUUUCCAUCAGUUAUGUUAAAGUUGACAUCACGUUUCCGGUUCCGGAAAGAAAACCAAAUGUUAUUAGUGAUUCCGAUGUUCAGCUUGAUGGUGAUGAUACAGUUAUGCUGAAUGGUGAAGAGAGUACUUAAAAUUUUGCUAUUUCUGUUGCCAUUCCAGUAAGAAAAGGUGUGUGUGGGGUGGUAAUGAGACUACAAAUGGAAUUGUUGAUGCCGAUUCCAAGGGAGAAGGAUUUGCUCCACAAAAUGGGAAUGUGACGCCUUCCACCAAAACAGGCGGUGCCUAUUCCAUUCCAGGUAACCCACAUGAACUCAUGUAGAUAUUCACUAAAUGAAGAGUUCAAGAAUACCAUGGCCUCAAGGUCCCGCAGAGGAUACAUGGAAUCAAAUCUAGCAAGCAAUGAAGAAGGUAUAUUUGAUACUUUUCCCUUUCUUCCCAAAAAGUAGUUGUGGUUUGACUUUAUGGUCAAACCUAUUGAAAUUUUGCAUCAAAAACUGGAAUGGUUUAACAUUUGUUAUCUUACCCAUUUUGUUCAUGUUUGGGCUUCUAAAUGGAAUGAAAGAGCAUAUAAAAACAGGAAUCAUGAUACAUUAUGCAUUGGUAUUUUGAUUCAAGAACAUAUUAGAGCUGAUUACGCCUUUGUCACAUACACAAAUCAUCCAGUGUCUCGUUACUCCUCACAGAUAUACACAGAGAUAAGUCUCAUAUUUAUGGAUACUUUUGUUUAGGGCUAUUUUCAAUUAUGAGAAUGUGGAUAGUAUCUAAUUCCUUGUUGACACCUCAUCUUUUUCAGCAUGAAACGAUACAUUAACCUAAUGUUUUUUUUUCUUCCAGGAUGCAGCUUCUCGGGGAAGUGCUGGUGUAGGCUUUGAUGUUGUGCAAUAUGAUUAGCAUCUACUCCAACAAUGUUCAAUAGUACACUCACAACAAAUGAAGACUUUCUAUGUCCAGUUGAUGGAGCUAUCAUGAUAACUUCAAGCCAUUUUCAUUAUAAUAGAAAUGCUUUUAAAUUCUUUACUAAUGAAGGAGGCCUUGGAAAACCCGACAUUAAAGACAUUCUGGAGCAUACUGCAAACAUAUAUAAUGGAUUUACACCAAAUCUCUAGAAGAGGCAGAAAGAAAAAUUUCAUCUUCCAUCACUAAAGUUGACUACAUGGCUAUUUACGCUUCUAACCUUGUAACAACAGUUCGCAAAGCUUCAGGAAACAUAGAAAAGCCAUUGGAAGGAUUUCAUAUAGUUGUGGAUGCUGGGAAUGGAGCUGGUGGUUUUUUUGUUGUAUGUUAUCUUUUAAGAAUGAUGUAUAAAACAUGAGGGAAAUUUGUUUUUCGAGGAAGAUUUCAGUGUUACAAGCAAGAUUGGGUCAGGGCUUUAGAUUCAGGCGCAAGAAUAUUAGCUCCAACAGCAUACAUCUUCUUUGCCUCCACCCUUCCAGUCAUUGCCUUCGGUGAGCAACUGAAUAAAGAGAUAGAUGAUAUGUUGAGUGCAGUGGAAACUCUCACCUCUACUGCUAUAUGUGGAAUUAUCCAUGCAAUAUUCGGUGGACAACCUCUUUUGGUUUUAGGUGUUGUUGAACCUACUGUUAUAAUGUACAAUUAUCUCUAUAGUUUUGUAAAGAAAGACCUGAAUUGGAGAGGCAACUGUUUCUAGCUUGGGCUGGAUGGUAUAGAACCUUCUAGAAAUGUCUCAAGUAUAAUUAUCAUGUGUAAUCUUAUUCUUUCCUACCAAGCAUAUAUGAUAAUAUACAUAUUCUUCUUGGAUUUAGG